AGCCCACGGUUCACAGUUUCAGAUGCUGGGCAUGGACGAGUAGGUCCACCGCUCAUCAAGCCAUGCUGAGGCGGCAUCCCACAUAGAA
Molecule: non-coding RNA, 88 nt
Organism: Ceratotherium simum simum (southern white rhinoceros)
Lineage: Eukaryota; Metazoa; Chordata; Mammalia; Perissodactyla; Rhinocerotidae
Source: RefSeq, a predicted model, not a curated record